RNAcentral lists this unclassified non-coding RNA (273 nucleotides) under Ascomycota sp. Its description in RNAcentral is "partial contains small subunit ribosomal RNA, internal transcribed spacer 1, and 5.8S ribosomal RNA". The stretch from base 1 to 47 matches the Rfam family "Eukaryotic small subunit ribosomal RNA", at positions 1785 to 1831 of the family's 1831-position model. Lineage: Eukaryota; Fungi; Ascomycota. The record is from RNAcentral.
AAAGUCGUAACAAGGUUUCCGUAGGUGAACCUGCGGAAGGAUCAUUAAAAGUAAAUAUGUAUUCUCCCGAAUAUACAUUUCAAACCCCAUCUGCGUACGUUACCCGUUGCUUCCGCGAGGCAGUGAUCUCGGUCACCUCCAGAAGAUGGCGAAGGCCAUCCGACGGGGAGCACUCGCGAAAGGUAUACAUUAAACCCUUGCAAUUCCAUGCCAUCUGUCUGAACCUGUUUAUAACAAAUGUUAAAACUUUCAACAACGGAUCUCUUGGUUCUC